This 428-nucleotide ribosomal RNA is filed under the name uncultured bacterium. RNAcentral's name for it is "bacterial SSU rRNA". It matches the Rfam family "Bacterial small subunit ribosomal RNA", at positions 355 to 801 of the family's 1533-position model. The record is from RNAcentral.
CAACGAAUAUUCCGCAAUGGACGCAAGUCUGACGGAGCGACGCCGCGUGCAGGAAGAAGUCCUUCGGGAUGUAAACUGCUGUCAGGGGUGAGGAAAACUGACCAACCCCAGAGGAAGCACCGGCUAACUCCGUGCCAGCAGCCGCGGUAAUACGGAGGGUGCGAGCGUUGUUCGGAAUCACUGGGCUUAAAGCGCGUGUAGGCGGCAAGUUAAGUGUUGGGUGAAAUCCCUCGGCUCAACCGAGGAGCGGCCUGGCAAACUGGCUUGCUUGAGGUACGUAGAGGUGACUGGAACGACGGGUGGAGCGGUGAAAUGCGUAGAUAUCCGUUGGAACGCCGGAGGCGAAAGCGGGUCACUGGGCGUAUCCUGACGCUGAGACGCGAAAGCGUGGGUAGCAAACAGGAUUAGAUACCCGAGUAGUCCCUGAG